This 107-nucleotide small RNA is filed under the name Marmota monax (woodchuck). The record is from RNAcentral. Lineage: Eukaryota; Metazoa; Chordata; Mammalia; Rodentia; Sciuridae.
GCCAGGUGCAGUGGUGAACUCCUGUAAUCCCAGUGACUCAGGAGGCUGAGGCAGGAGGAUCACAGGCUUGAUGUUAGCCUCCACAACUUAGUGAGACCCUGUCUCAA